CGCCUCUUCCCCAUCCCUCUCCUACCUCCGCCAGGCAGGAAGAGAGCUUUCUCCUUAGAGCCGUGACUUAGGGGUGCCCAGCCCCAAGCACCUUGAGCCCCAUCCUCCUGCGAUGCCCCCUCGGGGUGUAGCUCUUCUGGCUCCGUCUUAAUGUGCAAUGACUCCUGAGCGUCCCCUGAAGGCACUGCCUCCCCCAGCUUAGAAAGCAUUUCCUGAUGAGAAUGUCCACGAUCUGGAAUCUAGAGAGGACAGCCUCAUCAGCACCCGGAUGAGUGGGAGAGACACCCAGAGCUGCAUGCCAGGGCGUUCCGGCAGGGUUGGACACCAACAUGCAAGACACAGCUUGAAGGACUGUCCUUGCUGCCUCCAUUGAGCUCACCCCAGCAAGGAUGGGUGGCAAGAGGAGGAAUAUUCAUCAAGCUGCUGCCACAGUGCCGGUGGGCGUGGUGCCCGAGGGCAGCUACCCCUUCUCAGCUCUGCCUCACACUGACCUCAGCAGUGUAGACUGUUGUUUAUUAGUGUACGAGGAAAACAAGUGUAGUGGCUUGAAUAGUGUCCUCUAAGAAUCCAUGCCCUCCCUGAACCUCAGAAUGGGGCCUUAUUGGGGAAAAGGGUCUUUAUACAGAAUACGAGAGGACACAGAGACACAGAGAAGGAAGCAGAGACUGGAGGGAUGCCCACAUCAAGGACACCAGGAGCCCCCAGGAGCUGGAAGAGACGGAGUUUCACUCUUCUUGCCCAGGCUGGAGUACAAUGGCGCAAUCUCAGCUCACCCCAACCUCUGCCUCCUGGGUUCAAGCGAUUCUCCUGCCUCCGCCUCCUGAGUACCUGGGAUUACAGGCAUGUGCCACCACACCCGGCUAAUUAUGUAUUUUUAGUGGAGAUGGGGUUUCUCCAUAUUGGUAGGCUGGUCUCAAAAUCCUGACCUCAGGUGAUCCGCCCACCUCAGCCUCCGAAAGUGCUGGGAUUACAGGCGUGAGCCACCAUGCCCGGCCUAUAAAAUUGAUUCUUUAAAAAAAAUUAGAACAUUUACCGAUGCUGGACCCGCCUUCCCCACCUUCAGGGUCCACUUUCUAGGUGGCCACAGUGCCUACUUGGCCCCUAUAGCAUUUGAGUUUGCAACUCUGCUUUUGGAGUUAAACAUGUUUUAGGAGUCCUGGGAUUCUGAUUGAUGCUAUUGUCAAUUUGAUGAAAGAAAAAUUACUCCUG
Molecule: long non-coding RNA, 1209 nt
Organism: Mandrillus leucophaeus (drill)
Lineage: Eukaryota; Metazoa; Chordata; Mammalia; Primates; Cercopithecidae
Exons: 3
Source: RefSeq, a predicted model, not a curated record